RNAcentral lists this ribosomal RNA (253 nucleotides) under uncultured bacterium. Its description in RNAcentral is "partial 16S ribosomal RNA". It matches the Rfam family "Bacterial small subunit ribosomal RNA", at positions 524 to 776 of the family's 1533-position model. The record is from RNAcentral.
UACGGAGGAUGCAAGCGUUAUCCGGAAUGAUUGGGCGUAAAGCGUCCGCAGGUGGCAAUGUAAGUCUGCUGUUAAAGAGUCUAGCUCAACUAGAUAAGAGCAGUGGAAACUACAUAGCUAGAGUACGUUCGGGGCAGAGGGAAUUCCUGGUGUAGCGGUGAAAUGCGUAGAGAUCAGGAAGAACACCAGUGGCGAAGGCGACACGCUGGGCCGUACCUGACGCUAAAGCGCGACAGCAUGGGGAGCAAACGGG